RNAcentral lists this ribosomal RNA (494 nucleotides) under uncultured bacterium. Its description in RNAcentral is "bacterial SSU rRNA". It matches the Rfam family "Bacterial small subunit ribosomal RNA", at positions 903 to 1397 of the family's 1533-position model. The record is from RNAcentral.
AAAGGAAUUGACGGGGACCCGCACAAGCGGUGGAGCAUGUGGUUUAAUUCGAAGCAACGCGAAGAACCUUACCAAAUCUUGACAUCCCUCUGACCGGCCUUUAACCGGGCCUUUCCUUCGGGACAGAGGUGACAGGUGGUGCAUGGUUGUCGUCAGCUCGUGUCGUGAGAUGUUGGGUUAAGUCCCGCAACGAGCGCAACCCUUAUCUUCAGUAGCCAGCAUUUCGGAUGGGCACUCUGGAGAGACUGCCAGGGAUAACCUGGAGGAAGGUGGGGAUGACGUCAAAUCAUCAUGCCCCUUAUGAUUUGGGCUACACACGUGCUACAAUGGCGGAAACAAAGGGAAGCGAACCUGUGAGGGGAAGCAAAUCUCAAAAAUACCGUCCCAGUUCGGACUGUAGUCUGCAACUCGACUACACGAAGCUGGAAUCGCUAGUAAUCGCGAAUCAGCAUGUCGCGGUGAAUACGUUCCCGGGUCUUGUACACACCGCCCGU